Molecule: ribosomal RNA, 497 nt
Filed under: uncultured bacterium
Lineage: Bacteria
Description: partial 16S ribosomal RNA
Rfam family: Bacterial small subunit ribosomal RNA
Source: RNAcentral
GAUGAACGCUGGCGGCGUGCCUAAUAUAUGCAAGUCGAGCGAACAGAUGAGGAGCUUGCUCCUCUGACGUUAGCGGCGGACGGGUGAGUAACACGUGGAUAACCUACCUACAAGACUGGGAUAACUUCGGGAAACCGGAGCUAAUACCGGAUAAUAUAUUGAACCGCAUGGUUCAAUAGUGAAAGACGGUUUUGCUGUCACUUAUAGAUGGAUCCGCGCCGCAUUAGCUAGUUGGUAAGGUAACGGCUUACCAAGGCAACGAUGCGUAGCCGACCUGAGAGGGUGAUCGGCCACACUGGAACUGAGACACGGUCCAGACUCCUACGGGAGGCAGCAGUAGGGAAUCUUCCGCAAUGGGCGAAAGCCUGACGGAGCAACGCCGCGUGAGUGAUGAAGGUCUUCGGAUCGUAAAACUCUGUUAUUAGGGAAGAACAAAUGUGUAAGUAACUAUGCACGUCUUGACGGUACCUAAUCAGAAAGCCACGGCUAACUACGUG